GCGAAGUCGAACGGACAGGUAAUGAAACCUAGUGAUUUAUCUGUUAGUGGCGGACGGGUGAGUAACGCGUGGGUAACCUGCCGUAUACAGGGGAGUAACACUUAGAAAUAGGUGCUAAACGCAUAAGCGCACAGGAUCGCAUGGUCCGGUGUGAAAAACUCCGGUGGUAUACGAUGGACCCGCGUCUGAUUAGCUUGUUGGCGGGGUAGAGGCCCACCCAAGGCGACGAUCAGUAGCCGGCCUGAGAGGGUGAACGGCCACAUUGGGACUGAGACACGGCCCAAACUCCUACGGGAGGCAGCAGUGGGGAAUAUUGCACAAUGGGGGAAACCCUGAUGCAGCGACGCCGCGUGAGUGAAGAAGUAUUUUCGGUAUGUAAAGCUCUAUCAGCAGGAAAGAAAAUGACGGUACCUGACUAAGAAGCCCCGGCUAACUACGUG
Molecule: ribosomal RNA, 440 nt
Filed under: uncultured Lachnospiraceae bacterium
Lineage: Bacteria; Bacillati; Bacillota; Clostridia; Lachnospirales; Lachnospiraceae
Description: bacterial SSU rRNA
Rfam family: Bacterial small subunit ribosomal RNA
Source: RNAcentral